RNAcentral lists this non-coding RNA (148 nucleotides) under Chlorocebus sabaeus (green monkey). The record is from Rfam by way of RNAcentral. Lineage: Eukaryota; Metazoa; Chordata; Mammalia; Primates; Cercopithecidae.
GCCGGGUGUGGUGGUGCACACCUGUAAUCCCAGCUACUUGGUAGGCUGAGGCAGGAGAAUCGCUUGAACCUGGGAGGUGGACGUUGCAGUGAGCAGAGAUGGCACCACUGUACUCCAGCCUGGGCAACAGAGUGAGACCCUGCCUCAA